GACGAACCGUGCGAACGUUGUUCGGAAUCACUGGGCUUAAAGGGCGCGUAGGCGGGCCGUCUGGUCCGCGGUGAAAUCCUCCGGCUUAACCGGAGAACGGCCGCGGAUACCGGCGGUCUUGGGGAGGGUAGGGGUGCGUGGAACGUCAGGUGGAGCGGUGAAAUGCGUUGAUAUCUGACGGAACUCCGGUGGCGAAGGCGACGCACUGGAUCCUUGCCGACGCUGAGGCGCGAAAGCCAGGGGAGCAAACGGG
Molecule: ribosomal RNA, 253 nt
Filed under: uncultured bacterium
Lineage: Bacteria
Description: partial 16S ribosomal RNA
Rfam family: Bacterial small subunit ribosomal RNA
Source: RNAcentral